AUAAAUUUAAAAUUUACAACCAAAAUACCCAAAAACUUUUACGCGAUCUCUUAAAAGGCUUUGAACAUCUAAAGAAGGACCAAGGGUUUUCUCCUGUUCGAUUCUAGCGCUUUUUCGUGCAGCCAUGUCGUCCAAGCAAGGUGGGAAGGCGAAACCACUCAAGCAACCCAAAGCUGAUAAGAAGGAAUACGACGAGGACGACCUUGCUCAUCUCCAGAAGAAGAAAGAUGAGGAGAAGGCACUGAAGGACUUGAAGGCCAAGGCUUCCCAGAAGGGUACUUUUGGAGGGGCUGGGCUCAAGAAGAGCGGUGGGAAGAAAUAACAAUUGCUUCUUUAUGCUUAAAUCAACCUAUUUGCUCACUUCUCUUUACUAUGUUUCGACAAAAGCUUUAUUAUUGUUAUGCUUAGUAGUACUUCAUCUCACUAGCUGUGUUUGUGUUGACUAUCACUAACUGGAAUGCAUGCUUUAUUUACUUGUUUAAUCAUUUGUGCGCUUGGCAGUGAUGAUAAAUAAGUCUUGAUUAGU
Molecule: long non-coding RNA, 526 nt
Organism: Dendrobium catenatum
Lineage: Eukaryota; Viridiplantae; Streptophyta; Magnoliopsida; Asparagales; Orchidaceae
Exons: 4
Source: RefSeq, a predicted model, not a curated record